UACGGGGGGGGCAAGCGUUGUUCGGAAUUACUGGGCGUAAAGGGCUCGUAGGCGGCCAACUAAGUCAGACGUGAAAUCCCUCGGCUUAACCGGGGAACUGCAUCUGAUACUGGAUGGCUUGAGAUUGGGAGAGGGAUGCGGAAUUCCAGGUGUAGCGGUGAAAUGCGUAGAUAUCUGGAGGAACACCGGUGGCGAAGGCGGCGACCUGGUCCUUGACUGACGCUGAGGCGCGAAAGCGUGGGGAGCAAACAGG
This 253-nucleotide ribosomal RNA is filed under the name uncultured bacterium. RNAcentral describes it as "partial 16S ribosomal RNA". It matches the Rfam family "Bacterial small subunit ribosomal RNA", at positions 524 to 776 of the family's 1533-position model. The record is from RNAcentral.